Long non-coding RNA from Panthera uncia (snow leopard), 9085 nucleotides. RefSeq lists it as uncharacterized. The transcript has 12 exons. The record is from RefSeq and is a predicted model, not a curated record. Lineage: Eukaryota; Metazoa; Chordata; Mammalia; Carnivora; Felidae.
CUGAAUGAUCCUCAGUGGUUGAGGUGAUGUAGGACACUGACACAUUACACCCACUAGGAGAAAGACUGGAACUGUUCUAAAGUGGAAAGUUUAGCAACAUAUAUACCAACAUCUUUAAAUACCUUAAAUGCCUCUGGGAAUGUUUUAUUCCACGGGAAUUUUUAGAGAUCUAAAAUCUAAAGUUUUGGGGGUGCCUGGGUGACUUAGUCAGUUAAGCGUUCGACUUUGACUCAGGUCAUGAUUUCACAGUUUUGUGGGUUUGAGGCCCGUGUCAGGCUCUGUGCUGAUAGCUCAGAGCUUGGAGCCUGCUUCAGAUUCUUUAUCUCCCUCUCUCUCUACCGCUCCAUGCUUGUGCUUUGUCUCUCUCUGUCUCUCAAAAAUAAAUAAAUGUUUAAAAAACUGUUUUUAAAUAAAAUCUAAAGCUUUUAGUGAAAAGUUUAGCUAUGAAAAUUUUAUCAUGGUACUGUCAUUUGAGUGAAAUUUGGACAAGCAUAAAUGUUCAUAAUAGGAAUUUACUUAAAUAAAUAAAUUGAACAAAAAUAAUUUCUUCCAUUAUUAUUAAUUAUGCUAUGCAUGAAAUUUUUUGGUAUGGAAAUACUCUCCUGGUGUAUUAAAAGGAACAUACAGAUUAAGAUACAUUAAACAGAGAUUGACAAACAGAGACUAAGAACAAGAUGGAGAGACUCACAGGGACGACUCAGAUGAAUACACACUAAGCUGCAAAGUAUAGUUAUGUGAAGGGAUUUGGGGUGUGUUUUAUUUGUGUUUUUAAUUAUUUGAAAAAAUUUUUUACAAUAAUACGCAAUGUUUCUAACAACAAAAAGAAAUAAAAUGUACUAUCUCAAUUGUGAAUAAUAUUACACCAAAAUAUUAACAAUAGAUACAACGAGAGGACUGUGGGGGGCCUUUCACUUAUAUUUGCACUUAUAAGCCUUUCUGUAUUUUCCUUUAAUGGACAGGUAUAACUUAUGCAAUCUGGGGAAAAAAAAAACAAUGUUAUUUUUUUAAAAAAAGCAACACGGAGAGAUGCUCUCUGUUGCCCUCAUAAUGCAAAUCCAAAGUACAUUUGAAGGUGUAUAAUUUUCUUCAUGAUUUGGCCCUCGCUUACCACAGGUCAGCUCUCUUACUAUAUCCUUUACUGCAGUCUAAGGCUGGACAGAACGACUUUCAGUUCCCUACAAACAGCAAAGCUCAUUCUUUCCUCUGGGGAUUUGCUCCUGCCCACACACCCCUUCUAGCAACUUCUCAACAACCCCUUUACUGGAAAACCUCCCUCACCCAUCACAUGCUGCCUGGUGGGUCAGGUGCCUCGUGCACAACUACAUCAUUUCAUGAUUCCCAUAUCACUUUCUGUUUUCUUGUCUUUCCCCACUCACUAGGUUUUCUAAGUUCCUAUGAGGAAAGCCUUAAUGAGUGAUCAAUUAUUGUUGUCAAAAGAGGUAAUGAAAUAAGAGAAUGAAUGAACGAGCCUCCAUGUAGCAGAUGCUGCCAUGGGCAUCUCAUUUAUUUUCUCUCAUUGAAUACUAACCAAGAUUUCAUGAGGUAGGUAUUAUCAUGUUCCUUUUCCAGUUAAAGAGACCAAAGUCCAAAGGAUUUAUUGGAUCGCCCUCAGCAGCCCCCAGCACACAGUAAAUGCUAAUAAUUACAGAAUAAAAGAACACACAUAGUCUAUGGUAAUUUCUCUAAAGGCAAAACUCAAGGAAGAAUUGAGCUUAUUAUCUGGAUAACUAAAACAAGUGCUUUGUUAUGAGGAUGAGAUUGAGAGUAGAAAUGGGAAUAGGUUGUUUAUUUUACUUUUUCUUUUGGUCCUGAAUUAUUUUAGGUGGCUACAUAGAGCGGCUGGAUUCAUCUGCAUUGAAACCCCUUGAGAAUUUUUAUAGGUUGAACCAAAACAGAAUAAUGAAAUGAACCCUCCUAGGCAGGAAUGCAGAAGCAGACAUGAAAGAUGAUUUCUCUGAAUUAUUUGGCCUUUAUAGAAAGAACCAUGAUGAGUUUCUAGAAAAUGCAUUAUUGAUGUGAUGUAAUAAGAACGUCUCUUGUGUGCCAGGCAUUGUGCUAGGCACAGUCUCCAUUCUCUUGGAGCUUGUAGUGUAGAAGGAAGAUAGAUGAAGUCACACUAAUGAAUGUAUAAGUACAAAUCAAGAUGAGUGCCCUAAAGAAAAAAAGUGUGGUCACAGGAACUCCUCUGUGGUGCGUCAGUCAAGUGGCACACCUGCCAGACCUUUAAACUGUGGUCUCUGGAGAUCAAAGUCACCUCACCGUCUCAUUAACCUUCACUUGGCAUCCUUAAAGGAGAUAACGAGCCCCCCAAACGGCAGGAACUCGUUUUGUUCACUGCUGCCUCUCCAGCACCUAUAACUAUGGAUGGCACCUACUAGGAGUUCCGUUAAAAUCUACUGGAUCCAAAUGAACAUGUAUUUAGCACCUACUUUAUCACAGCCUACCAAAAUUGAGCGCAGGUGUGGUCCUUGGGCCGUGGCAUCAGCAUCACCUAGGAGUCUUCAGAAAUGCAGAAUCUUGGACCCGUCCCUAGAUCAACUGAAGUAGAGUCUACAUUUUAUCACGAUCCCAAGGUCAGGAGAAUAUGUUCUGGAGCUAGACUGUCUGGGUUCACGUCCUGACUCUACCCUUGUCACUGAAUGGUGCAAUGCCAGUUAUUUCAACUCUCUGCCUCAGUUUCCUCACUUAUAGUAUGGAGAGGAUCAUAACUGCCCCUACCUCUCAGGUCACUAUGGAAAGAGAAGAAGGAAUGGAAAGCAACGUGGGUUUCUGAGAGGACAGGCCUGGAAGAAGCAUGCAUCACUUCUGCUGACAUCCGUGGACUCGAUUUCAGUCACGGAGGUUUCGUCUUAAUUGCGGAAAAAAUGACACAGCUGCACUAUAGAAAAAAUGAGAGACUGACAAAGAAGUUGCAUAACUUUUCCAAUGUCGUACAACUGGAUUUGGGAUCCAGAUGAUUCACCUCCAGAACGCUGGCCUUCAGCAUACUGAGGGAACGACAUUGAAAGGUCUGGAGUGGGGUCUAGAAAUAGAUCCUAUUUGUUUGCUUGCUUGCUUGUUUUAAACUCCUGAGAAGAUUCUAAGGAUCCACAAGUUGGGAACCCACUGAUCUGACAGAGGUUUUCAGUCUCUGUGUUGCCUGAUUGGCCCCAUGCUGAAAUGCGCCUGUAAAAAUAAGUAAGAAACUUCAGAUGUAUACAAGACUUAAAAGGCAAGACUACCACUUUUAACAAUGAGGGAGAGAUCAUCUUUCCAGUCCUUUUUCGACCAGCUAUUGAUGAAGAGAUGCCAUAACACCUGGAGGAAAUUAGGAUUCUCCCUAAUCCUUUCAACACAAACAUGUGACAACAAGAUGUUCUGGCUGUUUAAAAAAAAUCUAAGGGGAACCUGGCUGGCUCAGUUGGAAGAGCAUGCGACUCUCAAUCUAGGGGUUGUGAGUUCGAACCCCACGUUGGACAUAGAGAUUACUAAAAACGAACUAACUAAAUAAAAAAAUACAGUAUACAAUUCAAUGUGUUCUUUUUUAAAAUCUAUACUGCCUUGGCUCAGAGAUAAAGCAAGAUUUUUUAUCACACAGCUUUAGACUGUGGAGUGUGAAAAAUUAAUGAAAUUUCAUUGUAGAAUAAAUGGGCUUUUGAAAAUCUAACUCAAAAUGAGCCAUUGCUGGUUUCAUGUGGCAUCUAACUAGCAGUUUCUGACGUGGCCUUGUCUGGUUUCCCACUGAAACACCCAUGGAAACUCAGAGAACAGUGAACCCUCAGACAGCUCACCUAUUACUAGAGUAUGUAUGGCACCCGCACUAACUUAAUAGUGGAGUUAAUAUUUGAAGAGCCGAAACCUCCUUUGGGGGAGCCAACAUAAUAUUUUGUGACUGAAAAAGCUUCAUCCCUCCCACCCUGCCUCAGAACCUGAGUCUCCCUCAGUCAUCACUUGGACAAGUGUUCUGCCUUUCUCCCAUCAGGGAGGCCAAAACCAACCUUUUAAACCAACCUAGUUAGAAAAUACUGGGUAUUUUGAUUUUUAUCUCUGUAUUUAUAUUUUUGGCAAUUGCUUCUAUAUGCUUUUGGCCAGUACUAUGGUGAAAUUAUCUUAAGUUUAAAUUAUGAUAGAAGGAAUUCAAUUUUGUUCACUGAUGCAUGUCCAUUACCUAGAACAGUGCUCUGCAAAGAGUAGACAAUUAAUAUUCAUUGUUUGCAUAUUCGUAAGUAAUUAGUUUUAAAAAGUCAAUAGGACCACAGUUAACUUCUAAUCACACUUGUGCUUUAAUUUUUGAAGAGAAUUUAGGCACAGAAUUCUUUAAUAAUGAUUAAAUAAUUUCAUAAAGAAUUUUAUUAUGAAAUUCACCAAGAGCUGAGAGAAAUAAAAACCAGGAGUUGAUUGAAAGAAGGAAUAGUCCAUUGAACAACUAGAGUACUAAAAUAGCCUUUGUUUAUUAGUGACCUUCAAGGAAUCAGCCCUAUGUCCUCUCCCCGCCUACCAAAGCAAGUGUUAAAAAGCCCACUCAUUUGCCAGAGCAGAGCUGGGCUCCCAGUCAAUGCCACUGACAGUGGAAGGAAGAAGAAAUAAUUACUUCUUAAAGCCACACAUUAAUUUAAGCACUUGGGAAAAUUCAGUUUGUGAAAAAUAAAGAAUGAAAUGGGAACAAAAGAAAAACCAUGUUUCAUGUCAGAAUGGAAAGGUUAGAGACAGAAACAGCGAACAGAAUGGAGUGUGUGGAAACACAGUGAGCUGGAACCAGUGGGAAGACCAGCCUCCUGCUGCAGCAUGGCUGGCAUUCACCUCCCCACCUGUGAACGGGGACGUUACACUCUGCACACUGCUACCACCCGCUUUCCCUCUGUAUAGACAAGGUGGGGGAUGCUCACUAACCCCCUGGCAACCUACUUGUUUGAGGAAGGACGUUAAAAUCAUGACUACUGUUUGAGGGUUUGAGGGCACAUGGAGUUAAAGGCAGCUCUAGGGCCAUCUUUAUCCUUCUCUUUUCAACCCUGCACCCAACUCCUGUGAUUUCUAUGUAUAAAUCACCUUCUUCCUUUACUUCCUCAGCUUUGAAAGAUAAACAUGAAAUACUAGAUUAAAAUGUUUUUAAUUCUGCCAUUUAAAGGUGCUUUGGGGGUCGCCUGGGUGGCUCAGUUGGUUAAGCAUCCCGCUCCAGCUCAGGUCAUGAUCUUGAGGUCGGUGAGUUCCAGCCCCAUGUCGGGCUCUGUGCUGACAGCUCAGAGCCUGGAGCCUGUUUCAGAUUCUGUGUCUUCCUCUCUCUCUGACCCUCCCCCGUUCAUGCUCUGUCUCUCUCUGUCUCAAAAAUAAAUAAAAACGUUAACAAACAAAGGUGCUUUGGAAUAUAGGUUUUAUUAUUAUUUAAUAUGGCAAGGCCACCAGAUCUGAAGUCAGCUGCCACUGAAAAAUAGUUACACCUAUAGAUCCCAAGAGGCGGGGGUGUGUCAUGCAGUGGAGGGCUAUGUGGGGAUGUGCCAGGGUCAGUCAGGAGGCAGAGGGAGAGGGGACAGUUGUGAACCAGAGCUUUUACUGUGAUUUCUGUAGGAAGGAAUGGGCCUGGCAUUGUAAGCAGGCUUAGGAUUGGCUAGUUUGGACAAAUUCAGUGGGCUCUGGGGCACAGGGUCUGUCCCUAGUUGUCUGGUACCUCGUCCUGGAGUACUUACGCAAGAGGAUAGCGGCCCAAAGUGUGAAAGCCAGAGACAGGAGGUGGUGGGGGAUAAUGGCUCUGGACUGUUGGUUUGCAUUUGAAAGGCAUGCUCAAUGUCCAGUUGUUAACUGUCUCUAGGUAUUGGCUAGCCCUGGGAGGGAUACUUCCUCCAGGGUCAGCCAGGCCCCAGAUGUCAAAGCAUCAGAAUACAGAAAAUAAAAGACAUGUUUCAUACAAAAGGCACUUGCAUAGAUUCAGUUUACCGGAGUAAUAAACCCAGCAUUUCAGCUGGUGACUUCCAUUAUGAUGUGGAACUCCAGUAUUGAAAGGUCGGGUUACCCAUACAUUCAAAACCAUAAAAAGGGUUUCAAGCUGGAUGUGAAGAAACUACUUCUAUUGCAAGGGAACCAUCCUCAUGCUUGCCCUGGUGAUUUGCUCUAUCUGAGUACUAAGAAAAAUACUUCAGGAGGAUGCUUUAUGCUUUAUUAUUGACCAUUAACUUGUCAUACCAUGAAGGAAAAUGAUGAUUUAGGACUGCUGAUAAGAGCAAGAAGAUUUUCUCUUUAUCACAAGGUGGAAAUCCAACCUAGUGCCUCAAUAGCAGAAGAUCUUACCACUCAAUAGAUGUUCAGAGCCUUGCAGAAAUGGACCUGCAGGAAAUUACUUUCAUGGAGGAGGAAAAAAAAUGACAUCAGGUUAUUGGUCCCAAAUGGCUCAUCCUAACCUCCAAAAAUAAAAUACAGAUGAAGAUGUCAGGAGAUAGGAGACAUUCAACCACAUUUAAACUAAGACUUUCUACCAGCCUAUUAUUGGAGUUUGGAAGGAAUUCUCUCUAGCACUGAAGCUGAUGGAAUUGGAUAGAAAAAUAUGAUCAGCGACUCAUUCAAUGAAUGCCAGUUUGCCAUAAGGUAGGAAGUGCUUGCCUUCAUCUUGCACAGUUUAUGUUCUGGUUACUAAAACCCAAAAAGGGGAUGUAUAGAUUUUUCUUCCUCUGGACUGAAUAGGCAAGCAAAACAAAAACAGAAACAAAAUAUGCCCAUGGAAAAAAAGGUAUUACCAAGGGAUAAAGAAUGCCAAACAAGAUGUCAAGAACUCCAGAGGAAAAACAAGCUUCUGAAAUGGCUUUAUUUCAGAAACCAAAGGAAAUUGUUAAAAACUGUCAACCUCAGCAGGAUUAAAGGAGACAUAUCCUUCAUGAGAGAGAAGCAGAAAAAUAAAAAGAAAUAGACGAGUCUGAGAUGCAAAGGGAAACAAAUAAGGAAGGUAUUCAAGAAAACUAAAAAUGUAACACCAGAACCGACACAAUUACUGGGAAAGAACAAAACUGCUAAUUCAGAAAAUCAAAUCAGUAAUGGGGCAAGAUUAAGAAACUCUUCCAGAAAACAGAGAAAGAGAACAAAGAAAUAAAAAAUGACAAGACAGAAGAUGAUAAUAAGUGUCUAGGACAGAAAAUAGAGAGUUAACAGAAUAAUUAUAUGGUGUACCUGAAGAGAAAUUAGAAGGACAGAACAAGAGCAAGAAUCAGACACAAAUGUAUAAAACUUUCAUAGACCAGAAAAUACGGGGGUUUAUCACAUUUCUAUAAACUUAUAUACAUUUUGACAAAAUAUUUGCUUUACAAGAACUACAGGAAAAUAAAAAAUAAGCCUAUAAAUUGAAAAGUGGGUUAUGUGCAAAAGAUAAAAAUCAGGUUGACCUUAGCCUUUUCCUCUGUGACACUAAAUGCUGAAGACAAAAUAUUGGCAGAAUUUUGAGGUAGAAAAUUGAAAUGUAAGAGUUUUUUCAUAUGCAGGAUUGUCUUCUCACAGUGUGAGGUCAACACAAAAAUAUUUCCCCAGUUGUAAGGGCUCUGAAAAUAUAUUAUUAGCUCCUUACCUUUUUAUUUAAAAAAGGAUAUAUUCCUUCUGAAUGAGAGAAAAACAGGAAUAAAGAACUCAAGAUCAUAGAUUUAAAGUCAGCCAAUAAUGAUAUGUGCCAUUUAGUUUCAGUAACUAUUGAAAGUUUAGUUACAAUAGCAAACGAAAUUCUAAAAUAAUUUUUGACAGAGGAAGAUUUAUAUGACAAAACAAUAAUUUAAUUCCCAAAAUCUUUAUAAAAAACUGUUUCAAAACCUAGGAAUUAGGGUGAUUAUGGUGGAGAAAAAGGUUUCUUAAUUCCACAUUUCAUUUAAAAGGACUCAGAGGAUUGCUUUUCAUUUUUUAGUUUGAUGUAGGAAGAUUAUAGUUUUUUUAUGUUUAUUUAAAGAAACCUUAAAGAUGGGGUGCCUGGGUGGCACAGUCGAUUGAGCAUCUGACUGUUUUGGCUCAGGUCAUGAUCUCACAGUUCAUACAAUCUACCCUUCGUCAGGCUCUGUGCUGACAGCAUGGAGCCUGCUUGGGAUUAUCUCUCUACUUCCCUCUCUGCCCCUCCCCUGCUCGCACACACUCUCUCUCAAAAUAAAUAAAUAAACUUAAAAAAGAAAAAAACGUUAUGGGGUGCCUUGGUGGCCCAGUCAGUUAAGCUACCAACUCUUGGUUUCAGCUCAGGUCAUGAUCUCAUGGCUUCAUGGGUUCGAGUCCUGCAUCGGGCUCUGUGCUGGCAGCAUGGAGCCUGCUUGGGAUUCUCUCUCUCUGCCCCUCCCCCACUCGUGCUGUCUCUGUCUCUCUAAAAAUAAAUAAACUUAAAAACCUUAAAGAUAACUAACAGCAACACAAAAUGACAACAUAUAUUACCUUCAAAUCAGUGAAGAUAAGUGCAGACAUAUUGUGAUGUGAUCCUAGUUUUAGUUAUAAAAAAUGUCUAGGAAAAAUGUAUGUAACAUGUAUUUUUUUUCAAUUUUCACUGUUUCUAAAAUGAACAUAUAUUAAUUUUAAAUGUAAAAAACAUUUUAAAGGAGAUAUCUUUCAUAUAUAAAUGAAAAGAAACUCAUUGGCAUUUUCUAACCAGUUUCUUUGUUUGCUCUGCACAAUUCACCAUCAGAACUGUCCUUAUGUGCAGAAUCAAUUAAACAUCCCAUGAGAAAAUGGGCUUAGUGAAAACUUCCAUCUGGACUUUUGGAACAAAUAACCUGCAUCACUUUAAACAAUGAUUUGCAUAUCAAACAUCGUUUGCACAAUAUUUGAACUGAGGUUACAUAGAGGCAUCUUCUUUUUUUUAAAUCCUAGAAAAGCAACUAUUCACGUACUUUGAUUAGAUAGUGAUCUCUUUGAAGCCUGAGAUUUUUUUUUUUUUAUUCCCACUACCCAGCCCAGAGCCUGGUUAUAUGUUUGUCACAUUCAAGUGAAAUGAAAUGACAUAAAUGAAAAUAUCCUGCCAGAUGAUUGUUGCUGUCACCAUGUUCAUUCCCAUUAUUGAUCACAAGGCAUUGAUGUCACAGCCUCAAACUUCUCUAGUCGCAUUUUGGGCCAUUCCAAACUAUUUCUCCCUCCAUAUUUUUGUAAAGUUUACUCACACCUGCAAAAC